This 433-nucleotide ribosomal RNA is filed under the name uncultured bacterium. RNAcentral describes it as "partial 16S ribosomal RNA". It matches the Rfam family "Bacterial small subunit ribosomal RNA", at positions 29 to 507 of the family's 1533-position model. The record is from RNAcentral.
AACGAACGCUGGCGGCAUGCCUAACACAUGCAAGUCGAACGAGACCUUCGGGUCUAGUGGCGCACGGGUGCGUAACGCGUGGGAACCUGCCCUUAGGUUCGGAAUAACUCCCCGAAAGGGGUGCUAAUACCGGAUAAUCUCUUCGGACCAAAGAUUUAUCGCCUUUGGAUGGGCCCGCGUUGGAUUAGCGAGUUGGUAGGGUAAAAGCCUACCAAGGCGACGAUCCAUAGCUGGUCUGAGAGGAUGAUCAGUCACACUGGGACUGAGACACGGCCCAGACUCCUACGGGAGGCAGCAGUGGGGAAUAUUGGACAAUGGGCGAAAGCCUGAUCCAGCAAUGCCGCGUGAGUGAUGAAGGCCUUAGGGUUGUAAAGCUCUUUUACCCGGGAUGAUAAUGACAGUACCGGGAGAAUAAGCUCCGGCUAACUCCGUG